Molecule: long non-coding RNA, 536 nt
Organism: Apis cerana (Asiatic honeybee)
Lineage: Eukaryota; Metazoa; Arthropoda; Insecta; Hymenoptera; Apidae
Source: RefSeq, a predicted model, not a curated record
AGUCGUGUCGCGAACACGUCGGGGCAACAUGUCGUAAAUCGCUUUAAUAAACUAUGAAUCCGUUGAUUUGUCGACCGGGGGUGAUUUACGGUGCGACCGUUGUGUUUGCAGAUAUCGACAGGCAGACGACUAUAAUCGACGCUUGAACAUUUGCGUUAGAGGCGACAAAUUAGGCCAAAAUGGACGAGCCUCUAAUAUAUAUGGUCUGGUUGUAAUAUCGUACCACGGGGAAUACGAGAAUGGAGAGAUUGGCCGGUUUGAUUUCUCCGCCAUGCCAAUGAGCACGCCAGUCGAUGUUGGGGAUCUCGGAAUUGUUCCAGCUAACGAUGGGCGUUCGAUGCCCUCAGAGUUCUUGAGCGAUUCGGUUGUGUAAGCAUUGGAAUGCUCCUGAAUGUCGUAAAUUAUGCAGAAGCGAAUUAUACAAUCAAAGAGAUAUCCAGAUGUAUAUUAGGUAUAUGGAUUAAUUAAAAUUUGUAUUAUUAUUAUUAUUAUAUAGUUGGAACGUCGAAUAAAUUUAUAUUUUUACGUAUAUGAAA